Molecule: ribosomal RNA, 261 nt
Filed under: uncultured Synergistaceae bacterium
Lineage: Bacteria; Thermotogati; Synergistota; Synergistia; Synergistales; Synergistaceae
Description: partial 16S ribosomal RNA
Rfam family: Bacterial small subunit ribosomal RNA
Source: RNAcentral
AUCGGGUGAAGCCGGGCACUCUGGAAGGACUGCCAUCGACAAGAUGAGGAAGUGGGGACGACGUCAAGUCAUCAUGGCCCUAUGUCCAGGGCGACACACGUGCUACAAUGGCCGGCACAACGGGAAGCGAGUUCGCGAGGACGAGCGGAUCCCUUAAAGCCGGUCGCAGUUCGGAUUGAAGUCUGCAACUCGACUUCAUGAAGCUGGAAUCGCUAGUAAUCGCAGAUCAGCCAAGCUGCGGUGAAUACGUUCCCGGGCCUU